Delitschia confertaspora ATCC 74209 is the source of this 123-nucleotide non-coding RNA. The record is from the annotation of a GenBank genome assembly. Lineage: Eukaryota; Fungi; Ascomycota; Dothideomycetes; Pleosporales; Delitschiaceae.
GGCCGACUGGCCCAAUGGCAAGGCGCUUGACUACGAAUCAAGAGAUUGCAGGGUAAGCUUUCUUUCUAAUUCAUACUUAUAACAUAUAUUGAUCUAUCUUCAGUUCGAUCCCUGCGUCGGUCA